This 237-nucleotide ribosomal RNA is filed under the name uncultured bacterium. RNAcentral describes it as "partial 16S ribosomal RNA". It matches the Rfam family "Bacterial small subunit ribosomal RNA", at positions 540 to 776 of the family's 1533-position model. The record is from RNAcentral.
GUUGUUCGGAAUUGCUGGGCGUAAAGGGCGCGUAGGCGGCCAUCUAAGUCAGACGUGAAAUCCCCCGGCUUAACCUGGGAACUGCGUCUGAUACUGGAAGGCUUGAGUAUGGGAGAGGGAUGUAGAAUUCCAGGUGUAGCGGUGAAAUGCGUAGAUAUCUGGAGGAAUACCGGUGGCGAAGGCGGCAUCCGGGACCAUUACUGACGCUGAGGCGCGAAAGCUAGGGGAGCAAACGGG